GCGCCCCUGUCCCCGCCCACUCGGCCGCCACGUGGCAACCGAGUGAGGGCCUCGGGGUGACGC
Oryza glumipatula is the source of this 63-nucleotide non-coding RNA. NCBI's taxonomy places the organism in Eukaryota, Viridiplantae, Streptophyta, Magnoliopsida, Poales, Poaceae. The record is from Rfam.